This 88-nucleotide transfer RNA is filed under the name Candidatus Colwelliibacteriota bacterium. Its description in RNAcentral is "tRNA-Ser". It matches the Rfam family "tRNA". Rfam says of the family: Transfer RNA (tRNA) molecules are approximately 80 nucleotides in length. Their secondary structure includes four short double-helical elements and three loops (D, anti-codon, and T loops). The record is from RNAcentral. Lineage: Bacteria; Candidatus Colwelliibacteriota.
GGUGGGGUCGCAUAGAGGCCUAGUGCGGCUGCUUGGAAAGCAGCUAUACCUUAAAAGGGUAUCGUGGGUUCGAAUCCCACCCCCACCG